CCUACGGGGGGCUGCAGUGAGGAAUAUUGGUCAAUGGGCGGGAGCCUGAACCAGCGAAGCCGCGUGAGGGAAGAAGGUACAGCGUAUCGUAAACCUCUUUUGUCAGGGAACAAAGGCGGGGACUAGUCCCAGGAUGAGGGUACCUGAAGAAAAAGCAUCGGCUAACUCCGUGCCAGCAGCCGCGGUAAUACGGAGGAUGCGAGCGUUAUCCGGAUUUAUGGGGUUUAAAGGGUGCGCAGGCGGCCUGUUAGGCCAGCGGUAAAAGCUCGGGGCUCAACCCCGGCGAGCCGUUGAAACUGGGGGGCUGGAGUUGGAGAGAGGUACGCGGAAUGCGCGGUGUAGCGGUGAAAUGCUUAGAUAUCGCGAAGAACCCCGAUUGCGAAGGCAGCGUACCGGCUCCACACUGACGCUGAGGCACGAAAGCGUGGGUAUCGAACAGGAUUAGAUACCCGUGUAGUC
RNAcentral lists this ribosomal RNA (459 nucleotides) under uncultured bacterium. Its description in RNAcentral is "partial 16S ribosomal RNA". It matches the Rfam family "Bacterial small subunit ribosomal RNA", at positions 338 to 795 of the family's 1533-position model. The record is from RNAcentral.